RNAcentral lists this ribosomal RNA (495 nucleotides) under uncultured bacterium. RNAcentral describes it as "bacterial SSU rRNA". It matches the Rfam family "Bacterial small subunit ribosomal RNA", at positions 28 to 517 of the family's 1533-position model. The record is from RNAcentral.
GAUGAACGCUAGCGGCAGGCCUAACACAUGCAAGUCGAACGGUAACAUGAGUAGCAAUACUUGAUGACGAGUGGCGCACGGGUGCGUAACGCGUAUGCAACUUACCUCUAACUGGAGAAUAGCCUUCCGAAAGGAAGAAUAAUACUCCAUAAUAUUACGAUGUGGCAUCACAUUGUUCUUAAAGCUUCGGCGGUUAGAGAUGGGCAUGCGUCUGAUUAGCUUGUUGGUGAGGUAACGGCUCACCAAGGCAACGAUCAGUAGGGGGCCUGAGAGGGUUAUCCCCCANACUGGUACUGAGACACGGACCAGACUCCUACGGGAGGCAGCAGUGAGGAAUAUUGGUCAAUGGACGAAAGUCUGAACCAGCCAUGCCGCGUGCAGGAUGAAUGCCCUAUGGGUUGUAAACUGCUUUUAUAUUAGGAAUAAACCCCUUUACGUGUAAAGGGCUGAAGGUACUAUAAGAAUAAGGACCGGCUAACUCCGUGCCAGCAGCCG